RNAcentral lists this long non-coding RNA (296 nucleotides) under Hordeum vulgare. Its description in RNAcentral is "long non-coding RNA (HVUL_LNC008786)". The record is from RNAcentral. Lineage: Eukaryota; Viridiplantae; Streptophyta; Magnoliopsida; Poales; Poaceae.
GGGCAUGGCUUUGUGGAUGAACAAAUAGGAAGUCAAAGCAUCUACAACCGGGGUCCCUCAAAUCCUCCUCAAAUGCCCGGGACGGCCGUCCGGUCACUGUCCGGUCAUAAAAAAUCGAUCCAGACAGGCCUCUCAAACCGAACCCAAACGUCCGAGCUGACCGGCACCCUCCGUUUCCAGCCCAAAUAUGGGACGGAUAUGCGGAAGCCCGGGCGUGCCCGCUUGGCCCGCAUCUAUCCCACAUAUAUUCAUCCCCAUCCGCUCGUGGGACCAAACCCUAGCCACUUCACUCCACU